AUGGCGAGAGGAAGCGCUGCCCUGGUGGUCGCCGUGGCCCUGGCGGCCGUGCUUAUCCUCGUCGCGCCCGCGGCGGAGGCGGCGGGGCAGAAGAAGCCGGCGACGGCGGCGAGGCGGGAGGACGUGCCGUACAUCCGGUGCCAGGUCUGCGAGCGGAUCGCGCGGGAGAUCUCCGCGCAGGUCGCCGCCAAGCAGCAGGCGCUGCCGCCCUCCAAGAAGGUGCCGGAGAUCGAGAUCAUCGACAUCGCGGAGAAUGUGUGCAACCUGAAGAAGCAGGAGGCGGACUGGAUGCUCCGGAUCGACAUCGUCGAGAAAGGCGACAGGCUCGAGCUUGUGGAUCAAGAUGAGGAAGGGCACUGUAACUCGGAAUGCAAGACCAUUGAGCGUGCAUGCCAGGAGGUGAUGGGUUAUGCUGAUACCGAUGUUGCUGAGUUUGUCUACACAAAUAAGCCUUCAGUUGAUCAGCUGAUACAGUUUGUCUGCAAAGAUAUUACCAAAGCAUGUGCUGCCGAUCCACCACCAGUUCCAAAAGAUCGAAUCCCCGGAGAACCCUUUGCUGCAAAGCCAUCAAAAGACGCCGAAAUGGAGAAAAUAAUGAGAUCAAUGGAGGGCAUGCCGGGAGCCCCAAACAUGAAGAUGUACUCCAGAGACGAUCUGAUGAAGAAUAACUUUGGCGUUGAAGGUGAUGAGGAUGAUGAAGAUGACGAUGAAGACGAGGAUAGCUUACCCAAGAACUUGGGAAACAUUCUGAAAAACAAGGGUCCGCAAAAGAAAGACCUGAAACAACAGGUGGUGAAACAGAUCAAGGAUACCGGCAAGAAACUGAAAGGGCAUGUGAGCAAGGUGUCCAAGGCGGUGAAGAGUUGGUGGAAGGGGAAGAAGAAGCCUGCAAAAUCCAGCAAAAGCGAGCUAUGA
Molecule: ribosomal RNA, 915 nt
Filed under: Triticum aestivum (bread wheat)
Lineage: Eukaryota; Viridiplantae; Streptophyta; Magnoliopsida; Poales; Poaceae
Description: partial small subunit ribosomal RNA
Source: RNAcentral